Gorilla gorilla gorilla (western lowland gorilla) is the source of this 2262-nucleotide RNA transcript. RefSeq lists it as uncharacterized. The transcript has 10 exons. Lineage: Eukaryota; Metazoa; Chordata; Mammalia; Primates; Hominidae. The record is from RefSeq and is a predicted model, not a curated record.
UGACCUCACAACGACUCAAGCUACCACUUAUUGUUGAUUGUGAUGAAAUGCCAGCUGAGGCACACACCUUGGGAGCUAAGUGGUUGCUGCACUUGACUACUAUGAAGACUGGUGUGGGAAGGGUCGCUUUGGAUGCACUUGAGCAGGGGUCCCCAACCCCUGAGCCAUGGAGCCGUAAGGAGCCACACAGCAGGUGAGUGGUGUCGAGUGAGGGAGUGAGGGAAGCUUCGUCUGUAUUUACAGCCACUCCCCUUUGCUCACAUUCCCGCCUGAGCUCCACCUUCUCAGAUGAGCAGCAGCAUUAGAUUCUCAUAGGAGAACGCACCCUGUUGUGAACCGUGCAUGUGAGGGAUCUAGGUUGCGCUGUUCUUAUGAGAAUCUAAUACCUAUUGAUCUGUCACUUUCUCCCAUCACGCUCAGGUGGGACCAUCCAGUUUCAGGAAAACAAGCUUAACACGCCCACUGAUUCUACAUUAUGCUCCUACCUCCCGGCAGCCUCGCCAGGCCCAGAACUCUCUCCAGUCAGCCUCUACAGACCAAGCUCAUGACUCACAAUGGCCUAUUUAGGCCCAUACCCUACCUCACGGCAGUCUCCGCAGAUGAGCCUACUGCCUCACAACAGCCUCCACAGGCACAGCUCCAUCGUUCCAAUGGCCUCUUUAGACCCAGCUCCUGCCGCCCAGCCUUCUCUCCAGGCCCUGAACUUUCUCCGUGGGACCAUCCAGUUUCAGGAAAACAAGCUUAACACGCCCACUGAUUCUACAUUAUGCUCCUACCUCCCGGCAGCCUCGCCAGGCCCAGAACUCUCUCCAGUCAGCCUCUACAGACCAAGCUCAUGACUCACAAUGGCCUAUUUAGGCCCAUACCCUACCUCACGGCAGUCUCCGCAGAUGAGCCUACUGCCUCACAACAGCCUCCACAGGCACAGCUCCAUCGUUCCAAUGGCCUCUUUAGACCCAGCUCCUGCCGCCCAGCCUUGUCUCCAGGCCCUGAACUUUCUCCGUGGGACCAUCCAGUUUCAGGAAAACAAGCUUAACACGCCCACUGAUUCUACAUUAUGCUCCUACCUCCCGGCAGCCUCGCCAGGCCCAGAACUCUCUCCAGUCAGCCUCUACAGACCAAGCUCAUGACUCACAAUGGCCUAUUUAGGCCCAUACCCUACCUCACGGCAGUCUCCGCAGAUGAGCCUACUGCCUCACAACAGCCUCCACAGGCACAGCUCCAUCGUUCCAAUGGCCUCUUUAGACCCAGCUCCUGCCUCCCAGCCUUGUCUCCAGGCCCUGAACUUUCUCCGGUCUCCCUCUGUUGUCCAAGGCUGGAGGGUAGUAGUGCUAUCGCAGCUGACUGCAGCCUCAACCUUCCAGGCUGAAGCGAUCCUCCCAUCUCAACCUCCCACGUGGCUGAGACUACAGGUGCUUGCCACUACGCCCAACUAAUAUUUGGUUUUUUCAUAUACGUGGAUUCCAGAGGGGUGACAGCGAAACGUGGGACCAUCCAGUUUCAGGAAAACAAGCUUAACACGCCCACUGAUUCUACAUUAUGCUCCUACCUCCCGGCAGCCUCGCCAGGCCCAGAACUCUCUCCAGUCAGCCUCUACAGACCAAGCUCAUGACUCACAAUGGCCUAUUUAGGCCCAUACCCUACCUCACGGCAGUCUCCGCAGAUGAGCCUACUGCCUCACAACAGCCCCACAGGCACAGCUCCAUCGUUCCAAUGGCCUCUUUAGACCCAGCUCCUGCCUCCCAGCCUUGUCUCCAGGCCCUGAACUUUCUCCGAAUCCAUUCGGGAUACCACACUGUGUUUACGUGCCAUUCCUCUUUAGGUGUCUCCUGGCUGGGGCAGCUUCUCGGACCUCCCUUGUUUUAAAGGCCUUGAUGGUUUUCAGAAGUUGCGGCCAGAUAGUCUCUGGAAUGUCCCUCCUGUGGAACUUGUCUGGUGUUUUCUCACAAUGCACCAGGUUAUGGGUUGUUGGGAAGAUCACAGAGGUAAAGAACCCUUCUCGUCACAGCAUACCAGGAACACGCACCACCAGUGGGACUUACACUCUGGAUGUUGACCUGAUCACUUGGCUAGGGUGGUGUUUGCCAGUUUCUCCACUAUAAAGUUAUGUAUUUUUACUUCCUUGCAGCCUAUACUCUUUGGAAGGGAGGAACUAUGAGCAGCACAACUUAGGGAAUAAGAAAUGAGGCUAGUAAUACACAGAGCACCCACUAAAGUAAUUAAUCAAGAGCAGAGAUUCUACAAACUUUUUUAAUUUUUAAU